Non-coding RNA from Xyrichtys novacula (pearly razorfish), 10968 nucleotides. The record is from the annotation of a GenBank genome assembly. Lineage: Eukaryota; Metazoa; Chordata; Actinopteri; Labriformes; Labridae.
UUGCUUUGUGUGAGAGGAAAAGCCUCUAGAGCCCAUUUCAUCCACACACUGUAUACACUCUGAGUCACUGUGUGUAUUAGCUGUCUGAACAAAUGCAGUUUCCCCUGCCUACAGUGGGUGGAAAGAGUAUAGAAAAGCAUCAUUUAUUCUGAUUAUUUAUUCUUAUCACCUAGUUAAGAGAAAAGAAACGUACAACCCAUCUACUUUUAUGUUCUUCUAAAGACUUUAUUAUGCUAUAAAUUUGCAUUAUACUCAAAGUAGAUCUCAAGACGUUGUUACAGAGUAAAGACUUGCACAAGACUGGAACGCAGUGAUCCACUUAUCUGAGUAAAUAAACGCAUGCUGACACUCUGGAAGCUCUCAACCCCAAAUGCUGUAUAAUGUGCCUGUGAAAUGUGCACUUGAUCAUUUUGCAUUAUAUCACUGCAACACAAGUGGAGCAUAUUAUGUAUGCAAUAUGAAAAUGAACUUACUUUGCUGCUGAAUGAGCACAAUCCCACUCAUACUUUUGUGCUUUUCAGGCCCCAUCGCACUCUCUGUCAAGUGGUAAACUUCAUCUGUAUGUGCGUGCUAGUGCCGGAUGGUAUAAUAGCUUGGAUACUCCACAGAGCUGACGGAGAAUAAUGCAGUUUCCUUGUGAGUGGCCCUGGCUUCAUUCUCCAGACCUCUGCACCUGGAAAAUUAGGAUUUUGUAUGCAAGUGUGUGUGUGUCUCUCUCUCUCUGUGAGUGUGUAUUUAUAUAUGCACACAUACAACUGAAGAGUGAGCAAGGGCAGCAGCUUAUGCCCUGCAUGCCUCGACAGAUAAAUUAGAUUUACAUGUAAAGUAACUGACGAGGGAAAUUGUUUUCGGUGUCUUUAGUGCUCUGACAAACAAAAUGGAUCGUGUUUGGAUCAGACAUCACUCCACACUUAUUUUUACAAUGCACAAGAGAGAAGCUUUUAUUAAUACCAAGACACAAACAUGGGUGUCAGCAAAACUUUAUUUACAAGCAAUGGUGAAAACCACUGUCACAGUUUCACUUGGAUGUAUGCAAGACUUUGCACUGCUGCAAUAAAGCUACAAAAACGCUUAUCUCUCAGAACUAGUAUAAGGUUAUUGAUGAAUAAGGCUGACCAGCACACUGCAUAAAAAGAUGGACAACAUAACGGCUCUUUGAAAGGAAGGUCAAGCAGUUUACAUAGGGUGACCGUAGUCUGAAUCCUCAAAAAGAGGAUAUACGACUACACGGGGGCGGAGUCACAGAGUCGGGUGUAGUAAAUUUUGAAAGUUUUUCGGGUCAGGUCGAGUGUUUUUUACGUACUUCUGAGUCAGUAAUUCCAUGCCACGCAAACUCAAAACUUCCAUACACAACCCCAGACAGUUGAAGGAUUUUAUCAACUCCCCCGGAUAAGGCUGGACAAGGCAGGACAGCCCCCCAAAAAGAGGACCCUUUUUGGUCACCCUCGUUUACAGAUCCUCCUAGCUGACUGGCUCCAAUAAAAACAUAAGUCGCCUCCAUGUAAACAGAGAGGAUAGAGUUAAAAUAUAAAAUACAAAAUAUUUUUCUCUAACUCUGUUAUUACUAACUUUUACUAACUCUAUCAAAACAUCACCAGAGAGAGAACUUUAGUUUUUAGUUUUAGUAAGUUAGGUGAGUCUAUCUAUGAACGACAACUCUGUGAAAAAAUAGGGCUCCAAUAACACUGUGUGCACUGGAAAAGCAGAGCAGAGAAGGAAGAGAGUGAAGAAACUUAUUCAUAGAACUUUGUUUAACCAUGAUUGUCAUCUUGAAAGUGAGACAAGAAACUCAGUAUGUUAAUAUGUUGUUGAAAAAAUUGAUUUAUCACUUUAGUCCGACUAAAAAUAGACUAAAAUGUAUGUUCACACGCACAGUUAACUAUAUGUCUUUGGCAAUAGCUCCUCUUAACAGUACAUGUAAAUGCACUGACUGUUAUGCUGCAGACUGUGCUCACCUGAGGACUCUUCAUAAUUUUUCUUUAAGUAUAAGUGUUGGGUAGCAGAUCCCUUUCUGGCUCCAAAUGCACAAUGUGUCAGCGCCCUCAGAGGUAAAACUUAGACUUUGAUUUUUGCAGUUUGUUUUUUCAGUGGGAAGCAGUGGUGAUACAUCGUCCAUCUUCAUACACAGUCAAUGCCUGCAUCUCAAAGAUAUAAAAAUAGACACUGGUACAAGUUCAGCAAUGACUUCCUCUACCAGAAUGUACAGAUUGAAUUUGCUGCAUUUCAACCUGGCCUGGCCUUCACACAGGGAGACCUCAGAGACAUGACCCCCUCCUCUGCUGAGGGACCGAGCAGUACCGAGAGGGUCAGCCUUGCAUUUGCAGUGACUCUGACAUGUCUGUUUGUUUAACAUGCAUUAUAAAUGAAAGACCAGAGAGAGGGAGGAGAGAGCAGGGAGGGAGGGCAGCAGAGGAGAGGAUGGGAGGAAUGCAGAGAUGACACCAGGAAGACAGUGAGACGAGGGGGCAAAAGGAGGUGGCAGUUCACAAGAGAGUUGACACAGUACCACAAACAUACUACAGGCUGAAGAUUACCCUGCUUUAAAGAGAAGAUGAAUGUAGAUCUAUGAUGGAAAAAAAAGGUAAAAAACAAGAUUUCAGUGAGACUUAUUGUAGUGAGGAAAUUUUACUCCAUUUUCCCAAUAAUAACUUAUAAAAUGAGUAUUUCUUACAUAUGGCGAUUUAUCUUCAUAAUAGUGUAAUGACCAUCCAUUAUCAUUCAGCAUGUUGUAUACAUUCUCACAGAUGAAUAAUAAAUGAAGCUGUUGUUCAUUAUGGGAGGAGCACAGUUUGUGGAGGACUUACAGGUUGAGCUGUAAUGUAAAUGACGGGUCCAUUAAGGCUGAUAGAAGUGUAAAUAAUUCAAGCGCAUGUGCCUGUGUGUGUGUAUGUGUGUGCCUCAUACUUAAGGGAGGAUAUUGAAGAGUGGGGAAACACAAAGACAUUUUUUCCCCUUAAGUCUAAUGAAUGGAAAACACAGCGAGUCUGACUGACAGGGCGGAUGCAUUUAAAGGCAGCAAGAACAUGCUGGAGGAAAAGAGAUGGAGUGAGUAUUCAGGUCUGCUUGAGCUAAACAGAGGACUGUGAGAUCAUUGCAGCUGAAGUCCUUGAAUCCCAGAGAAAAGCUAAAUCCCAGGACCCUGCAAAUCUGCAUCAUCACAGAAGUUUAGAGGAAGGGCAGAUGUUGAAUUGCUCUGGGUAUUUCUGCUGCAGCAUAAACUGGCCUCAAGAGGGAGCUCUUAUCAUGGAAAUGCUUUCCAUGGCCUCCUCCCCAGGCUCUUCAUUUAAGCGCACCCCUCUGUAAAAUUUCAUCCAUUAAGCUCAGACCUCCCUUAACCCAACAACAUUUCUGUUUUUGGGCUUGACUCAACACAGAAUCCCUCUGGCAAGAAAAAUGUGAGCCAGGUUUCCUGAGCUCCACAAAAGAAAGCCAGCGGCCAAACGGACCCGGAUUCUGCUGGCUUUGGGGGAUUUUUCUCGACUGUCCUAAACUCGGUGACCUCUGUGUAGGGGCUGGAGUGAAUGUGUAAUGUUUUUUUAAGGCCAUCACACCUUACAUAUUGAUCCGAGAGAGGGUUGCUGUUACCCUCCGUGACACUGCCAGGACACCAGCUAACACCUGCUAAUGCAUUUUGGCGUCCUGGUGGAUUUACAGGAAAUAAGUCUGGACUGGUUUACACUUCUAGGGGAAAAAUAUUCAGCUUUACUUUGGUCUCCAACAACUCUAGUGCUCACCCACUUUCCCUAUACAGCCAUGCUGCUUAAUUUGCUUGGCUGAAAUGCAUGUAAGAGUGCAGUUUUAAUCUGAUGCCCUGUCACAAUACCACAAGAGUUUGUAGUCCUGAAUGCCCAUAAUUGGUGGUUGGAUGCUACAGAUGCUGCAGAAGCUCUCGAAGCGCAGAGCUAUUUGCUGCUGAUCUGUCUGCAGUUACUCUCCUGCACACAUUCAUCCAAUUUUGAGAGUGCACUGUUCCCUGCUCCCCAUUCAGCUCAACAGCUCUUAAAAUAUGAGCAGGUACUCAAGUGCUGUAAGUUGUAUUAUCUACUUAUUAUUCCUGGAUGCAUUAAAAGUGAGAACCAGAUGGAAAAUAUUCUGACACCAUGAGUGUGCUUGUAGCUGAACUUGCAUGUGUACUCUUCAUUUUUCUUCAGUUAAUCCUUCAAAACCGUAUAGAGAACAAAAAUAAAUACAUUUUUGAAGUCGGAUAAAUAGAUGCACACUGCACACAAAGCCCAUCUCCCUCUACUUAUUUGAUAGUUAAUAAAAAUGGGGCAUAAAUGAAAUAAUUAUUAUUUGUGUAAUUCAUGUUGGAGCCAUAAAAAACGCCUGUGCACAAAAAAGACAACACAGAUAAUAUUAAGGACCAUGCCAAGAUUGAACAGAGACUUCUGAUGUGUGUGUGUGUGUGUGUGUGUGUGUGUGUGUGUGUGUGUGUGUGUGUGUGUGUGUGUGUGUGUUUUAGGGGUGUUUGUGAAAGUGUUAGAGAGUGCUUCAAAAGCUUUAAGAUGGUUUUGAUGCCUCUGCAAUUUUAAGUGUUCGUGACAGUCAUUACUGUCCCCUGCUGUGUCUUCAUGCUGGUGUGAAUGUGUGCUUUUCUGACUGGUAUCUGUAUGUGUGUGUAUCAUAUUUGGUGGUAACCUGGAUAUAGUGAUGAUUCAUUUUUCAUAGCAGCAUCACAUUAUGUAAAAAUAGAUAAAAGGUGGAUUGAUUGAUUGAUUUCGAGGGUGACUGAAAAUUCUAUAGGAAGGUUGCUUUGGUUGGGCAUCAUGUUUUUUCAAACCCAAAGUGUCUCUUCUCUUCUUCUCUGGAUUUACUGUUUUCUUGAUUUUCAGAGGUAGAAAGCAGCCAAUCAUAAUUACUCAAGUUACUGUAUCUAAGUAGCUUUUUUGUGUGAUUGCAGUUUUAUUAAUAACUUUUAAAAUCAGAACUUUGACUUUUACUUUAGUGUUUUCUGUUGUAAGCUUUGUACUUCGCCAUAUUUCACACCAAAUCAAAAAACAUGCAAGACUUGUAUCAGCUCCAUAACGGAUAACGUCUACACUGCAAAAAUAUUCAGACUUUCCAAAUGCCUUCACCUUGUUUCUAGAAAAAAAUCUCAUAUCAGGCAAAUUAAAGUCAUACUUCAAGAUAUUUUGAGUGAAGAUUUUGAUAAUUUUCUUGAAAUAAGUAUUACUUCUCGUUUCAAGAAGGUCUUUUUUACUCAAUGCAAUCACUGAAGUCUUUACAUUAGCCUCAUACUAAAAUUUCUCUUUGCUCAGCCAGCCAUGACUUGAGUGUGUCUACAAAGUGCAAUACUGGAGAAAGAUGAUGGAAAAAUACAAUAACUUCACCCAAGACUGGGCCAAAGUCAAUAUCACAGUCACAAAGUAGUUGGUUUUAUUGUGUCAAUUUGAGAAAAUACGCUUCUGCAUAAUUCAAGGGGAUCAAAUUUUACUCCCCCACUGCCAUUGGAUGAUAGUGCAUUUCAAGUAAAGUACUUUUUAUAUUUACAUGAGAAGGUCAAUAGGCUAAUAUUUUAACUUAUACUUAAAAUGUGAAUACAUCAUUGAAUACAUCAUUUUUGUACUCUUUCGGCCCUUUAAACAUCGCAGUCAUUGAAUAAGUGAACAAUGAAAAGGUUGUAAGUAAAUAUGUGACUUAUAUGAUUGUCAACAAAUGAUGUCUGCAAAAGUAACAGUGAAUUGGUCUAUGUUUUCAUACUCUCUACUCUACGUUUUCCUCCUCGACCACAUCCAUACACAUUACUUAACUUAGAAACUGCAUCCCCAUGGAUCUCCAUGCUAUAACCAGACAAUCACUUAGUGUCUGGCUGUGGCCUGCUACUCACAGAUUGCACUGUUCCCCCUUUGGCCAAGGGAAUGGAGGAUUAUGCAACGAGUGGCCUACCUCAGGUCAUUAAGAUGCCCUCAGUCAGCAGAACUGGCACAUCUGCGUGUGCUGAUCAGCUGGGCCCUGUGGUCGGUGUGGGGAUGAUAACUGCACGCUAAUUAAAAACCCAUUCAUCGGAGUGAAAGGCCAAUUAAAGGCCUAAUAUUUGAUAAGGCUCUCAGUUCACUCAGCAGCAAGCCCACCUGGGAAGUAUUUAUUAAAUGCUAAUGGAGACUGUAAUUAAUAUCCAGGGUGGAUUAACGUGCAACUGAAUAUCAUUCAUGUUCACAGAGAGGGAGUAAGACAGAGGCAGGGAGAGGGGUUGAACAAGUACAAAUGAGAGGCACAUAGGUAACGCAGCAUUUUGCUCUGGUUGGAUGGCAUGAACACAAGAGGCUGUUAUUCAGGUUUGUCAUCAAUCUAGAGUGCGGCUGCCACAGAGCGUAACGACUCCUUUAUCACACAGCCAAAGAUUACAGCAGAAAUUUUCAGAUUCUGUGUCACAGUUCACAUCCGCUAAAAAGAGCUGACAGUUAGAUGUAGAUAAUUGGGUGCCUAAGACUGAUGGGUUGCAAACACACUGCAUGUUUGUGUGUGUUUUUGUACUUUGUAACUUGGCUUUAUUUGUUUGUAGCUGUUUCUGAAAGCAUCAGUACAGUCUACAUUAUUGCUGUUUGUGUAUUCAGAAAAAACACAAUUCAAUAGACUGCUAUAGGCAAAGUUUAAAAUAUACAGGCAUAAUGUAAUGUAAUGUAAUACAGCUAAAUGAUUUCCCAGAUGCAACAGAGCUUCGCAUUACAGGCCUGGAAACUGUUUUCUUAUUUUGAGUUGGAAAAAGUAAAAUCACUUUUAGGAACUGAAUUUUGAUGGACAUAUUUCAGUGUGCAUACUGCUCCUUUCCUUCAACACUUAUUUAGUCAUGGUAACCCAAAAAUGUGCUCUGAUGAGGUUGUUAUUAUGGUCAAUUUUAGGAAAAAGGCUCUUUCAUGCCAUGAUGAUUGCCCAGUAAUUUUUUUUUCACCUUCCACCCAGUCCAGCAAAAACCAUCAAUCACCAAAUGUGUUUUUUUUAGAUUAAGUUCUUCUUUCAAGUCAGAUCUUCUUAGAAUUUACAGAAAUAUUAGGUGUUUUACUGUUGAUAAAGAAAAGUCUUCUACUUCCAAAAUGCCUAUUAGUAACUUUAAUGAAACCAUUUGAUUCAACAGAAGUGACAGUCACAGUCAGAAGGCUGCUCUGCUAGCUAAGUAAUGGUUCAUGUCAAAAAACAAAUGCCAUCAGAAGUUAUACUACAUAACAUGUCAACUGGUGUAGUAACUUGGUUUAGAUUAUUUCUUGAACACAGAAAGAGUUGUAGUUUAGAAUAAAUUCUUCCCAAUCAGACUGUCCAGACUUGCAAAUUAGGAAUUCAACAUGGUUCAGUUUUAGGCCUUUUAAUUUUUACUUGAUAGAUAAAAGAUUAACCUGACAGCCACAAAAGAUUUCAAUGCUUGAUGUAUGUAGACUAUACAAUCAUUCUGCAAAAACCCCUCAGAUGGCAGCAGGGAUACUCUCAAGUGACAUGUCUGGUGCGUCAGAUGGUUCCAGCGUAAUCAUCUAAACAGUAAUAAUAAUAAUAAUGUGCUUUCUAAUAAAAAGAAAAGUCACUGAAGAGUUUAGAGUAAAUUUUGUUGAGAAUCGGAUGGGUAAGGUAAACGAAUUGAAAAUUUGGAUGUUACUUUAGAUCCCACUUUUAAAUUUGAUGGAAAUGUUAAGAGAUUGUGCAAAACUGUCCAGACAAACUUUUGAUAUGAUAUGAACCCAUCAGGUCAUUAUAUAAGCAACAAAAAUAAUGGAUCAGGAAUUUAUCAGGCUGCCUCACUCUACAGAGGAACUUCUUACUGAGUUGAACAGUUUGGUUAAGUUUUCCCUCACAAAACCACAAACGUUUCGUCACUGGUAAACAAACAAAGUUGUUGAAUCAGAUCUGGACGUACACUAAGUGGAAGCUGUUUGGCAGCAAAAUGUAGAGCAACACUCAGUCAAUCAUCCUUCGCAGCAUGAGGUAUAAAACUAUGGAAACCAUUACCAUCUGAAAGAAUUGUCAGAACUGAAGGAUUUUAGUACACAUAUCAAGCAAUGGCUGAAACUGAAGUGAGUCUGUUAACACUGGCUUUUAAGUUUCACAUACAAAUUCUUAAACAUGAUCAUGAUUUUGCUGUUUUCUUGGUCUCUAUUCAUGCUUGUCUCCACCUUUUGUUAAAGUCCUACAUUUCAUAGCAAACACUAAUCUUAUUCUAUGUUUUAUUGGCUGUAGUUUAAGCUCAAUAUUCGGUUGUUUUUGUUUUAAUGUUGGAAGCCUAAACAGGGACAGGGGUUGCAAAUUAGCCAUGACAAAAAACCUGUAUGCAUCUACUUUGUGUGAUUCAGGAAUGAAUGUUUCAUACAUGUCUUUCUGUCAAGGAAACACUCAAAUUAAAAGAUGUGCUAAUAAAAGAGUCUGCCCUCCUGACUGGACCCAGCAUGCAGUCAUUAUUAUCCCAGUUAAUCAUCAUUAUUUACUACUCUUACCUCUGUCUCACUGUCUUUAUUCCCUCUUCUUCUUCUUCUUUCCUUCUUAUUUUCUCAUUCCCAGAUGGAAAAUUACUUUUUAAUUUUUGCCCAGUGAAUUUCAUUGAGAAGCUUUUGAAUAAAAGGGAUUUGCGUGUGACACUUCCCAGCACAAUGAGAGCGAGUGCUUUCAGCUGGGGCCCCCUUUGCUAAGUUUCCUACCGUCAUUGUUGAUGCCCUUUUGUUUGGUCAGGCUCUUCUCCUCUGGUGUGGAUUUGUCCUCUUUGUAUCCAAAAUAAACAUCAAAACAGUCCAAAACUGAAAGUUGGAUAUGACAAUUGGCUUAUUUAAAUGACGAACAAAAGAUGACUGAAUUCACAGAACAACAUCAUCCAAUAAGUCCUGUAGCUCCGGCCAAAACCAUGUACCUGAUUGCGUGUGCAACACUUGUUCCAAGCAGUGUUGCCCCUAAAUGCUCUCUUGGGCUGUCUACAGUGCCCUACAGUGACAACAAAAGAAAACAAGAAAAUGGCUCCAACAGUCCGCUUCAGUUUGCACUUUUGAGCUCCUACUGUGGUUCUAGAUUUGUCUGCUGUCAGGGCCCCCUUAUGGCCUGGGGCAAUAAGUUACUCGUUGACUGCGGCGCCUAUAGAUAAGCAGGUCUAUGGUUGUCCCUUUCAGUAUUUGGUGUUUACUCCUUCCCCCACUCUUUCCCACAUUAGCCCUCUCCCUCAAGUUUGUCCAAUAUUUUUUAAAACUAAACUUUUCAGAAAUGCAGAAAUUUCCCAGAAACGAAACAGUGUUCAUGUUUAUGCAUACAUUCAGUUUAUUAUGGUAAAACACUGACAGAGACCUGUUUUUGAAUCAGUACUUUUUCUACUGAUGUCUUGAGUCAAGGUUUGCUGGUUAUACUUUCAUACUUUCACAAAAGUAAGGGAGGAAAUUGGUUUUGCACCGUUUUGAUCCUCCAGGCACCCUCCAUCUCCAACUUCAAUGCCUGGUCAUUCCAUAUUAUCACACACACCAAUGAAGCUCAGCAAGAGUUCAAUAUGUAAGACUCUCUUCCUGCUUACUCCACACAUUAAGUUCAAUUAUCUCUCUUUCUUCCUUUUCCAGCUCAAUCAGCUGAGCGCGUUCACGCCUUUCAGUGAAAUGCUUUGUAAUCUGCAGUGACCCCCCAGGAGCCGGUCAUGUCCAUGCAGCCAAACUCUAAACUCUUCUGUUUUUUUUCUGCUGUCAGCUCCUUGUUCAGUGAGAUAAACCUGGUGGACAUUUACUCUAUUCACCUGCAGUCUCAGCUCAGGGAUUUCUCCUGUCUGAAUAUGUUGAGAAAAACCUUCAAAACGAUAACCUCGUGAUCAUUUUAAACAAAUCUCUUUUGCUGUUCCCUUAGAUCACAAUAUCUUUACUCUAACAUAAAUAUCGCCUUAGUAACCAGCUUGAAUGAGUUUCAAAUCACAAAAUUGUCACCCUUUUUCUCUAUUUUUCCUCUGUGACAGUCCCUGCCUAUUUGUGUGACUGUUUCGGUGAGCUCUCUCUAAAUGACUGUCCUUGCUGCUGUCCCUCAGAAACCAGCCUCUAUUUAUAAGUUGUUUUUUUAAAACUGUGGUCACCGAGUAGCACACGACUUGGGAGGUAACCUCACUGCAUCCUCAGCCUCUUCAAAACAGAGGACAGGCCAGGUUCAAACUGUAGAUAACAUGCCUAGCAAAAUGAUUUCCCUCUAGAACAAGCUUUUUACGAAUAGCUUUGUCUGCAGCAGCUGCUCUCAGCAAAGUUAUUAUUUGACCGCUUUUGUAGACGGUAGUGUGUUGUUUUCUUCUCAUUGAGGCUUCAUUUUUUAUUCCUGACCUUGUUUAUGUUCCUCCUCACGCCAUUAGGAACCAUGUAGUGUGUCUUCAUUACACACGGCUGCUCUAUUAGCCAAGACUAAUAGACAUGGUCACAGAGGAAGGACAUGCCAAUAGCACCAAGCAUGCUAAAGCAAACGACCUAUUGGAUUGGUGGCAGGAUUACGGUUACAGAGAAAGGUUGGGGUUAGAGUUACAAUUGAACACUGGUGUAUUGAGAUAGGGAUUGAUAGUGUUUAAUGGCUCCUAUCCAGUGUUAAACACCUGGAGGCUGGUGUCAGCUGUUUACUGGUGAAAAGAGCCAAGCUGUUAAACACACAUGCUACAAAAACACGCACAAGGAGCACUAUCAUCUGAAGUGGCUGUUUAGCUAUUCUUAAUCUGUGCAUGUUGUUUUGACAUAGCUCAGACUUGUGUUUUCCUAAGUGUGUCACACUCCUGCACAACAGUAAGAAGAGAAACAGGAACGAAAGGGACAGACAUGUUGUUGCUGGCUUUCAUAAUAAAUAAACUGAGUAGUACAGUAAAUAAUCAUCACUUCAAACCAAUUAAAGUUCCACUCGGAGGAGCAUUUACAGUGUGCGCAUUUUCUCUCAAUGAGAAAAAGUUAACGAAUGCACAUUCCUCUGAAAAAGACAGCAACAUCCAAUUAAAUUACGACUAGAAUGUAUCUGAAAUAGUGUUAGCUGACUAAUACAAAUAAAUAGUGUUUUCCCAGAUGCAAA